Molecule: non-coding RNA, 45 nt
Organism: Aedes aegypti (yellow fever mosquito)
Lineage: Eukaryota; Metazoa; Arthropoda; Insecta; Diptera; Culicidae
Source: Rfam
CAUAUGGUCCUUUUUAGGACCACCAAAUAAAAGGCCAAAAAGAGU